Molecule: long non-coding RNA, 5494 nt
Organism: Equus caballus (horse)
Lineage: Eukaryota; Metazoa; Chordata; Mammalia; Perissodactyla; Equidae
Source: RefSeq, a predicted model, not a curated record
AAUUAUUUACUGGCUUUUUUCAGUUUCCUGGAAAACACUAAGGGUGCUCUUACAAUUUGUCUGGCUUGCCUGGUGUUGGCACAACUGGAUAUGGAAAAUCAUGUCGGAAUGUGAAUCCAAAGAAUCAAAAUUUGUGAAAGCAGAGUGUUAUCCUAAAAGUGUCAAGCAGCCAAAUGGUACCAGUUUCAACAAUGGUGCCAGAGUGUUUUUUAGAAAGACAGUUUCUGUUUAAACCCCUGAUUUUUGUCCAGCAUCUAUACUUUGUCUAUUUGUCCCAGAGAAAGACAAAGAGCCAGCAGCACCUGAAGCUUUUAUCUUUUACUUCCUUUGAAGUCACUUGACAUUUCUGUUGCAAUUUCUUUAUUUUAUUGUAUUAUUUCUUUAUUUUGUUAAAUCAUUUAUUGAUCAGACAGUUGGGGGAAGAUUCAUAGUUUGUAAAAUAUUUCAUAUGUUUUAGACAAAUAAUAUAGUACCUUUUAUAUUUAUUAUUAUAAACACAAGUCUAGAAGAUCAAAGACAAGUUUUGGUUGAAUAUUAUGUAUCAUUCAUUCAUAUAUAUAUUUAUUAAAUACAUACAAGGCAGUUGCUAGGUUUUAUGAAGGAGUAUAAAAACGAAUCAGACACAAAUAUAAUCUCAUUUCCCUCUAUUAAAAUUAUUCAAAAAUAUAAUAUUACAUAAUAGAUGAAUGAGAGAAGAAGGAAGGGAGAAUGUGUGAAAGAGAGAGAGAAAACGGUAAUAAAAACAAAUGUGGCAAAAUGUUAACAAUUGGUGAAUUUUAGAUGAUGACUAUGAAGUAGUUCUUUGUACUAUUCUUGUAACUUUUCUGUAUGUUAGAUGUUAUUUUAAAAUAAAAAGUUACUGAGUGUAUGCUCUGAAAAAAAAAAAAGCAGCUGAACUAUCUAAGAGACUGAGGGUUUGCGAUUUCUGGAGUCCUUCUCAGUUACGGGAAUCGCAUCUCAAGUCUCUUUUACUUCCCUAUUGUUUCUGGAAUCAUUCUUUAAACUUGGGAGGCGCUCAAUAAAUGUAUAACCUUUGAGUGCUUAGUUUUUCCUUUGGAAUCCCAAUUUUCAGCCAGCAUCUCUUUAGAUCAGACCAUGAAGCUAUUGUAAACUGCAUACAGAAUACACAAGAGAGAACUUGCGAGAGACAGCUUUGUCAACGAUCGUGUGCAAGCCUCACCAACUAGAAAGCAAUGGAUUUGGACUGAUCUCUUGAUCUCUUUUGCCAUCUACUAUUAAUUUAAAACUGUAUCCUCACUCUCAAAUUGUAAGAAAGUUGUAAGCUGGAGUUUUAUCUUUCUCAUCUUUAUGUAUCCAGCAGAGACCUUCGUGUGUAUUAAGUGCUCAAUUCAUGUUUGUUGGCUGUAUAAGUGAAUACGGAUUCAAACAUGUUUGUGCCAAAGAUCUUCAAACCGAUUUCUCUUAUUUUGUUUCUCACACCAAAGCUAUACUGGUCUUCACGAGGCCGAGUUAGCCCGAGAGUAAAAUCGUAUCCAUAUGAACUGUAAUGUACAAACUAUAUUUAGGAAAAGGUGUACAAGGAGAGCAGAUUUCAAAGCUGGAGAAUAUUAAUGGUCAGUUAAUAUAUUUAGCAUGUGGUUAAAUACUUAAUACAUUUUAUUGUCUCUUUAAAAUCAAAGGUCCUAUAUCAUGUAUAUGUUUUGCAAAUGACAUUUGAAUAAAAAUGUAAAAGGCAUCUAAAGGGAUGAAGGGCACUUCUGGACUUGAAGAAACCUCUCAGGUUUGAUAAUCACAUUUUGAGUCAUCUAAAUUCAUACCUAUUAUCACUUAAGUGAACACUGAUGCUGCCACUGGAUUUUAUACAAAUAUUCAGAUUUUUGUUUUCCUCAUCAUUCUGAAGGUUAUCUCCCUGGUCGCUCUGAAAAUCAGGUGACAACCAUUUCCCAUGAUGCUUUAAGGGCUGUCAAACUGUCCAUCAAACUGUCACCUGACCAAUCGUUCCCAUGGUUCUUUUAGACUUCCAGUAUGAUAAAUUGAAAGGCGCUAUUAUCUGUCUGUUGUGAAGAGGAACUGUUUGGGCUUUGAUAAGAUAUCACUACUCCCAGAGUUGGAUGUUUUCCCUGAAAACAUUGGCAGUGUGGCUCCUCCUAAGCCUGUGUCUCAAUCCCGAACUGAAGGGACCAUCUUCCUGAGGCAGCUAUUCAAAACUGCUGCCAGCUCGCUUGCUUCUACUGAAUUGGCCAGUUACAGACAGACUGGUCAGGAGGUGAUGAACCUGUUUGAGCUGACUGAUUAUUAACCAGGAAUCAAGUUUCAUGCAUAGGCGAGCACAGUGGAAUGACGGAAGGAACCAAGUCUGUCUCUUUUUUUUAGGUCACAGUAAAGGAAGCCAUUUGACUUCACUGUGGUAGUUUUGGAUUGUGUAGAGAAUGGUUAGGACUGUGGGUUUGCGAAUCCUAAAGACCUGCUUUCAAGCUUUGGUCCUGCUAACUAGCUGUUUGAGUUCAGCUGCCAAAGGUCAUCUGACAUAAUAGCUGAUGAAUUCAAGCCCAGUGGAUUUCAUUUGCAAUUUUCAAUUUACUGAGGCCUCCAAACCCCACGGUGAUAAAAGCUUCCCCUAUCGUGGCCUGUCACAAACAUCAAGAAACUGCACAAACCCACAAGAAAGAAAAAAGAGAAAGCUGUGCAUCCUCGCAGGUACAGAUAAGGAGAACAGGAAGAAAUGGUAUCACGCAGGAAGGUAUGGAGCAGCUUGUGUGGCUAGUUCUCCAAAUGCCAGUUGAAAGGAAAAGACUAUGAAGAACAAUCAAAUAACUUCCACAGAAUAACGUCAUGUUUCUUUGGGGCUUUUGUGUGAAAAUUGCGUUCUAAUCUCUUAUUUGACAUGCCCCUAAACAAAAAUAUGAGUGUAAAUAUGCAAAUAAACAAAUGAAUAAAUAAUCUUUGCUUAUUUGAUCAUUGGAAAGAAAGCACACUCUGUGUGUUGUAUUUAGCAUAGUUUUGAUUUACAAAAUGCGUGCUCCUAAAGGAUCUUUUAUCAUGGAAGUGUCAGUCAGCACUAAGAAAUCAUUUGUUUUCUCGUAGAGAAAUGGUAGAUCCUUUGAUUGAUUUGCAAGGGCAGUCAAAGGACUGACAUAGCAACUACUUGUAAGUGGAUCUAGACACAGUGUAUAUUGAAGAUGUAUUAGCAAGGGAAGAAAGCCAUUUUCCCCUCCUGUCAAGCUAUUUACAGUGAACUUUGGCAGGAUCUGGGACUGAAUCUUGCUCCCAGCAAUUGUUCAAAUUGAGGAGACUAUAUGCGUGUUCCUUGCAGAAUGGUAAGUUUAAAAGUUGAGCAGCUCAUCUUCAUCCUAUCCUACACAACUCAUACGAUAGCUUACAAAGAGAAAGCAAAGAGAUGACCACUGUUUGAGGUACAACUGCUUGGAGAAUUCCAUUUCAGACAUGGAUGUCUGGAUCCCAUUUCUACCAAAUAGAUUCAGAAAGGCUUAUGAAAUUGGUCUAAUGAGGCAAGAGAACUUGGCAGAGGGCAUCUAACAACAUGCCUCAUGACGAAAUUUCUCAUGCCAGUUGACAAGAAAACCCAAGAAUGACAUCAACAAGACCAGGAUAUUAACUCCAUUUGUGUAUUGGUAACUGUGAGACACGCACAGGUUGGAAAGGAAAAGAGACUAAUUCCUGGUUGAACUGAUGUGAUUGUGAGAGGCUGCCUACUGUAGAAUGAUAACUUAAACUGUCACAGCAAAAAGCAAAAAUGUGGGCUAUUCAUCAUAAUUGAAUCCUUGGUUCUUUGAAAUUAAACUAUUUCUUAAGAUUUUCUAUUAGCAAAAAAUUUAAUGAUCUUUCAAUUCUUCAAAGUUUUAAAAUAGAAACUGUUUCCUCAAGUAGCUAAAAUGGCAGGAAUUAACAUUUUGAAAUAAGGCAUAAAAAAGUUUAUUCUAAGAUGCAGAAAAUACAGAAGGUAGCCAUAUUUUAGCAUUUUAUUGUUUUUUCUCCUACACAAAAUUGUCAGGAUGUCACUUUUCAAAAGUUGCUUCCUCUUUUCCCCCUUUUGUAGUUUCUAUAGGUUCAAAGAGAACUCUCUCCAUAAUUUGCAGUUUCUAUGGGUUCUCUUUGGAUUGUUAGCAUAAUACAGAGACCCUGGUGAUGGUAAAAGAUUGCUUAAUGGAGUCUUAAUUUAAUCAGUCCUCUAAAAAAAUACGUAUAACUUGGUGAGGGUUUUUCAUUAUCUCUGUUCUUCAAUGGCAGUGAUACAAGGCAAGCUGUACCAAUGGGUCUGUAGUUACAUAGCAGAAAGGUUAAUCUCUUUUAUGUUCCUUCUAUUAGAAAGGCAGUUCUCGAAUCUUCAGGGCAGAGUCCUAAAUUGGUCUUGUAGACUGGUUCACAGAGACUGUUCCCUCUUAUGCCCUACGGCUAAUUACAAUCAGUCAGGCCAGAGCAUUCACUGUCGUUUGAAUGAUGCGAUAGACUAUUUCCCGUUUCAUUAAUUAAUUUUUUUCAUCCCUUCACUUAGUAUUUAUUUAGUAUCUACUAAAUGCAGGACAACUAUGAAUGAGACUUUCCUUACUUUCAAGCAGUUUACAGAAGAGUGAAAUACAGAAUGUUUUACAUCUGCUCUCCCCACCUCCCAGAAUUGUUUUUCAUAUAGCCAUAAAAAGUUUAAAAUAAUGAAAAGUGUAUCUUGAGAAUUUGAGCAAUGGAGUGACACCAUUGACAUCUGGAUAUCUUAUUUCGGGUGAAAGCUGUGUUUCCCAUUUUUUUUGGUAAUACGUGCAUCAUCAUAAUAUUUUUGCCAAGUCUACGUACAAUCUGUACUUAUUUACUCAAUACUUUCCUUUGACAAUUCAGCUUUUUAAAAUUAACUAAGGUCAAUUAGAAAGAGAUAAUUAUCUAUAAUACCACAAAUGGAAAGCCUGUAUCAUGAGCUGUGAAUAAAUAAUCAUAAAUAUAAAUGCAUAACGAUUAUUGUAUUAGUCUGUGCACCAUCUACAUAAUUUCAUAUUUCACUACUGGUACGUGUUUGGAAAAUACUGGUUUGGCGUAUGGUGCUGAUAAAGACCAGUGUUGCAGGCUUGACCUCCGUAAGAACAGAUGUCCCAUGAGAACAGAUACUUUGAUUUGUUUCUUGCUGUACCUCCAGCUCCUAGAACAAUGCCUAGCACGAAUCAGGUACUAAAAAAUAUUAAAUAAAUAAGCAAAUAAAUAAGGGCCAGUUAGCUUCUCAAAGAUCAACCUGUAUUUCCGUUAUAGUCACACUAAUCAUACUUAAUUGUAGUUACUUGUCUAAGUCUCUCAAUCACUAGAUUGGUCAAAGACUUGGGCUUUCUUGUUCACUUCUGUUAUAAUCAGUGCCUAGACAAUGUCUGGCACACAGUAGGUGCUUAAUAAAUACUCACUGAAUGAAGGGAGAACACCAUUCCAAGGUCAUACAACUUUUUUGUCUAUAAUCUCACUGGUCAUUUUUAUAGAGGAGUUGAAUUGGCCAACAGUGGCUUAAAACUAUUCAGUACCCGGCACAUUAAAAAAAAAAAAA